UACAGAGGUCUCGAGCGUUAAUCGGAGUCACUGGGCUUAAAGGGUGCGUAGGCGGCGCUGCAAGUGCCUUGUGAAAUCCCACCGCUCAACGGUGGAAUUGCUCGGUAGACUGCAGUGCUUGAGGUUGGUAGGGGCUGUCGGAACUCUAGGUGGAGCGGUGAAAUGCGUAGAUAUCUAGAGGAACGCCAAAGGUGAAGACAGACAGCUGGGCCAAUACUGACGCUGAGGCACGAAAGCGUGGGGAGCAAACGGG
This 253-nucleotide ribosomal RNA is filed under the name uncultured bacterium. Its description in RNAcentral is "partial 16S ribosomal RNA". It matches the Rfam family "Bacterial small subunit ribosomal RNA", at positions 524 to 776 of the family's 1533-position model. The record is from RNAcentral.